CAGAAAUACUAGAAAAUCUGGUUUUUCCCAUUUUUCCUGCCCGUUAUUCUCACCAGUGGGGCGGGACCACUUCUUGAAGCCAUCCUGUGACACUCACAAUGAUUUGUCACCUGGGCUGAGUGGUCUCCAAGUGGCCAUAUGCCAAUGGUGGUGUUUUUCUCUCAUGAUGACUUGUGGGUUGAAAAGAAGAAAAGGGAUCAAGUGACAUUUGUUUCUUCUCUUUCAUGGAUUUCCGUGCCUCUCCUCAUACCUGUGUCCCCAAAAUUCUUAAAGGUCCUAAGAGAGGGGAGUAAAAGCAUCUUUCGACUUUGACUCCAAUGGAAUGGAACUGGCAAACUUUGAGCUAACUAGGAAUAUUCUCGAUGGACUGUCAACAUUAGUCCAUGCUGCAAUUGUGCUCCUUGAUGUCCACAGCACUGCUCCUGAUUUUUUCUAUCUGUUGACAUGGAACAUGGAGAGCUCACCAAAAUUCAUUUUUCUGUUGGUGAUGUCAAUACUGCAAGAGACUCAUUAGAGCUGCUAAAUUCAAGCAGAGUUUGGGAGACCACAUCAAAACCAGCAGGGAAACUUUAAAAAGCAGACGCUCCAUCUCUCUGGCACACUGGCAACUGGACAGCGGCUUCUUUCGACAUCAGUGUCAAUUCUGCCACUUGACCCAUUCCAUCACUUACAUACUCACCCCCCACUGGCCCACACCACCACCACCAAAACUGUUUAAAUACCUACAGGCUGGGAGUCAAAUGGCCAACACGUCCUCCCUGAAAAACUCGAUGUGUAUUCUCCUAGGAACUGCUCUACUUUCAACAAAGAAAAACUCCCCAUGAAGAAAAGUUCACAAGACCCUGAAUGAUGGAUGCUAAAUGUUUAAUCAGAUGCCAGGAGCAGUUACAUAAGGUCUGCUCAGUUCUGAGAUCUAUAUUGGGAGAGAACAACCAGGAUGGUGAAAUGUAAAAUACAUAUAAUCUUCCAGAGUAGCGCAAAAAGGAAUCUAAUCAUCCCACAGUCGUGAAACCAUUCAUGUGCAGUGAUUUUUUUUUACAGUUUUCUAAUUUUGUAUUAUGUUUUGUAAAUUAUUUAUAAGGUGUUGUAAUGCUUCUUAUAUUAAUUUUUUACUAACAGAUUUUUGCUAUGAGGCAUAAAGAGGUGCCUGAACAGGUUCUUGGGGAUAUAAAUGAUGUAUGUGUGUGGAACUCACUUGUGGGUCUUGUGGACCACGCCUAUGGUUUGACUCCAUUGCUGACUCCAUUGGGAAAGGACAGUGCAUUUUCAUGUUUCCGCAUCCCCAAAAGUUACUAUCGCCACCAAUAAUUCACAACAGAAAUCAGUUUCCAGCUCAUGGGAUUGUCUUUUGAGCAUUGCCCCUCCUUUCCAGUUGGUUUUGAGCUCUUUUCAUUAUUUCGACCUGACAUGUGGACCAACGAUGAUAUGCCUUUCACUUUAUGUUCCUGUGAUUGUUUUAUGGUUUUAUCCUGUAUAGAUUUGGGGAUGUUUCUUCCAACUAAAAGCUGUUUUGGAUAGUUAUGAUUAUAAAAGCCUUCAAAGGUUUUGAUUUAUUUAUGUUGGAUUAACCCUACAUCUACUCCCCCAUCAAAAAAAAAACAUAAACACACACACACACACACACACACACACACACAGAGAACAAGGAGGCAAAAGGAGCUAGGAAAGAACAAGUAGAGGCGUACAAAAAAACUCAAGCUAUAACCAAAAAGUAAUUUUGAAUUGCCUUUGCUCGUCUUCUCAAUGCUGGACCAAAGCUCAAUGUAUGUAGGUAUAUGCACAUUGUAUAGAUAUGGCUAAAUGUUGCUGACAAUCUUGCAAUACUAAACUGUUACUAUUUAAGAAAAAAAGAUAAACUGUUCAUCAGUGUUUACCUCAGCACUCUACUUGUACCCCAUUAAUGACCAACACAAAAAUGAGAGACAAAGAUGGAGAAAACGGAAUUGAAUUUCCAUGUCAAUGCUUGACUACAAAAUCUUGUCGGGAUAACAUUUCGUAAUGAGCUUUUUGUCACGUGGUUUGCUUGUCUCUGAUUUGAGAUUCUGUGAGGCACACUUGUUAGUUUCUUGUCGAGGAAGUGAGUUUCUGGUUAUGAUUUUUAUGUCCUCUGUGCUAUAAUCUACAGAAUGGUCACCAGGGUCACUAAUGAAGCCCUGCCAAGAGAUCUGCUUUUCCAUGCAUGCAGCAUGCUGCAGGAAGGGGGCAGUACAAAGAGGGACUCUAUCAUUUUCCAAUAAUAAUAAUAAUAAGGAUACUGAUAUUAGAGGAGUUGCCAUGAUGGACUUGUGACCAAGAAGCCAAACUGGAUAUUUAAAAGCUCCUAACUUGCUCUGACAUUGAAACCAAAGCUGAUUUACCUGCACAGGUUGCUUAAUGUUUAAAAAAAAAUAAAAAAAAUUAAAAAAAAAACACUGACAAACUGUACUUUAUCUAGAGCAAUAUCUGUAUGGUCAGUAAAGCUGCACUUUGUGUAUUUCUUAAACAGCUUCAGAUCUGUCACUUUUAAUUUGUACCAUAAAAAAAUAAAGAAUUGUUUGACAUGAG
Long non-coding RNA from Sarcophilus harrisii (Tasmanian devil), 2544 nucleotides. NCBI's taxonomy places the organism in Eukaryota, Metazoa, Chordata, Mammalia, Dasyuromorphia, Dasyuridae. The record is from Ensembl.